GUACUCUCUUCGGCAGCACGUGUACUAAAAUUAGAACAAUACAGAGGAGAUUAGCAUGGCCCCUGAGUAAGGAUGACACGCAAAUUCGUGAAACACUCCAUAUUUUU
Molecule: small nuclear RNA, 107 nt
Filed under: Vulpes vulpes (red fox)
Lineage: Eukaryota; Metazoa; Chordata; Mammalia; Carnivora; Canidae
Source: RNAcentral